This 1021-nucleotide long non-coding RNA is filed under the name Theobroma cacao (cacao). RNAcentral describes it as "long non-coding RNA (TCAC_LNC003824)". The record is from RNAcentral. Lineage: Eukaryota; Viridiplantae; Streptophyta; Magnoliopsida; Malvales; Malvaceae.
GGUUCAGGAUAGCACAUUUCGUCGAGGACUAGCAUUGGAUUUGCAUCUUCCAAACUGUAGGUUCACAGUCUUUCUUACUUUUGGUUAUUCGAGGGCCCACUUGUUACUAUCAAUUAAAUUAAAUACUCUGGUUUACUGUAUUACAGUAUAUAUCAAUUUAUUUUGCUUUUACACUGUAAAAAAUUAUUUACGCAGUGUUCUACAAAUAUUAUUUUAUGAGAAAAUUAAAUAUUUUAUUAAAUAUUUUUAUUUUAUUCUAAUAGUCAUAAUUUCAUUUUAAACAAAUAUUUUAGACAUCCAAAUUUAUUUUUGAUUAUGAAAUAUGUGUUUUGCACCCAUAUACUACAUUAUUAGCUAGUUUCAAAAUUUUCAGGAAAAAAUGACUAAAAUACCCCUAUGAGACAAAAAUUAUUUUUUUAUUAUUUUGGUUUGGAAAUAGUUUAAAAUCUUUUAGAACGUGAUAUUUGGCAACGGUUACUCACAGGGAAAAUGAGAAACUGAUAUUAAAGCCUUGUGGGGUUUCGGUUGGCAUUACGGGUAAUGAGUGUCUAUCGAGACACAACGACGGUUGUCACGGGCUCGAGGGGAGUGCUGAGUCGUGACAUUUAUCAAGCACGGUAGAGGUUUUGGUGCAAGGGAUGAACUACCACCAAUAGUAGAGUGCUCAUGAGCUUCAAACCUAUGAAUGAUGCUAGCAUCUAAAGGAACUCGUGAUGCAAAAGCUCUUCAUUGCUAGUCCAUUGGACGUCAGCUUGCUUGCAUAGUGUUGUACCACAAGCCAUCUUUAACUAAACAAAGCAGUAUACAUGAUAUUAUUAAAAAUCAAUUGACCAAUAUUAAAUAGUUUAGAUGGUGUCUGUUUACUCACUGAGAUUUUAUAAUCUCACCACCCUCAUUUCCUCGCAUUUCAGGCUCGGGGAAUUCCAUAGUUAGCUGACUUUGACAAGGACCUUCAUUUGGACUUGAAUCGGCAAAAGCUGUAGGUUUUUAGCUUCCGAUACAUUUUGGUUAGAUGUGGGCC